CCCCUGGGCAGCCUGAGCCCAGGGCUCCCUCCCGCCCCUCCGGCGCCGAGCGCAAGGGGGCGCAGGUGCGGCAAGGCCCCGCCCAGAGCUGGCAGCCAGAGCCAAUGGGAGGCGUGGGCAGAGCGGCCCCGCCCCCAAGGGCGCUGUGGGCUCCGGCCCCAGGGGCGUGAGCGCCAUUUUGGCUGGUGCUGGGCAGCGUCGUGGGAGCGCUGGAGCAGAGGCUGUGGUGUGCGCGGGCAGCGCUGCGCUUCCAGCCUAUUUCAUCUUUACUGAAGGGUGUGGAAGGCUUAAGGAGACCCAUAAAGUCCUUGAAGUCUCUACAGAAGGAGUUGGAAGAGUUGCAGAAAGGUUUUAACAACUUCUGGUGAAGCUGCUUCUGGAGGGAUUGUUCUGGGUUUAAGAAGUGGGCUGUGUGCAACUGCCAAGUGCAGUCCUCCUGGGGCCAGGGAGUGCAGGAGGUGGACCAGGAAGUGUCAUCUGUGGUAUUUCGUUGCCAUAAUCCUGCAUGCACUGCCCCUACAAACUGGCUGCACUCUCAGUUUUCUUCUGCCUGACUCUCUGCCUUGGCAGUGUGGACCUCAUCUGUGCUCUGUGCAGGAGGUUUGCAGUCUGCCUUUGGCCUUGUCUGAGCUCAUUUUGUGCUGCUUCAAUUUGUUUUGUUGUGGGGGAGAUAGAGAGGAGUGGUGGGGAGGGGUCAUGGAGGCCUGGGGUUUGUCCUGAUUUGGAGGGAGGUUUUGGAGAGCUUUGUCCUGAGAAGGUGUUUGGAGAACUGUGUCUGAGGUGGACUAUGUCUGGGAAGCUUUGGGCUGAGGAGGUCUGUUGGAGAGUGGUGUCCAAGGCAGACUCUGGCCUUGUGUAUCUCAGCUGCUGUUGUAGUGCUCUGUGCAGUUGCUCCUAAGAGUUGCCUUUGCACUGCCAAUGGUUUCCAGCCUGGUGUGGAGAGUUUGUGUUUAGCUGCUUUGAGAGGGUCUGAGGAGCCUCUGUGUGCUCUUGCAGGCAGAAGUGGAGAGCUGAAAGGGUUUAGCUUUUGCCAAGCUGGUGGCACAGGAAUCCCUAGCAAUAAAAGCUGUCCUCUGCCUUGGGCUGCAUCUCUGGAGUUGGUGUUUUUGGUGUGUGAAGCAUGAGGGUUGUGGAGCUUGCUGCUGCUGUUGGAGUUGUUAGAAUGAGAGCAUAGUUUGGUGUGGCCAAAGGCUUGAAGCUGGCAGAGUGGAGCUGGUGGGUUGAGCAGUGGCAGGUGAGCACUGAGGCCUGUCCCUGAGCAUGAGAGCUGCAGAGCUGUUGAGGAGCUGCAGGGUGAGGGAGUGCAGCAGUGGCCUGGGCAGGCUGUUGCAGGGCUUGAUGGUGCAGUUUGUGUUUGGUGCAGGACUUGGCCAGAUGGCAUCGUGUUGGAAGUGCCCCUCAGAGGUGAUCUUGUGCACCUCGUGGCAGUGAGCAGGGCCUGGUGCAGCUAUAGGAGGCUGCUCAGGAGCAGAUGAUCUGUGAUGUGUACUGUGUGCAGGGCUGGAGCCUUGAGCAACUCCCUGGGCAGGCUGUUGCAGAGUGUCAGCAGCCUCCUUGUGCAGAACUUGCUCCUGCUGUGCAGCCUAACUCUGCCCUGCUCCAGUUGGAAUGCACUGCCUGAUGUCCUAUCCCCACAGGCCCUUGUGCACAGUCCCUGCCCAGCCUGCCUGUAAGUGCCCUUGAGAAGUUGAGAUGCAGGCUGCAAGGAGAGCGCAGAGCUGCUUUUGUGCAGGCUGAGCAGCUGCAGCUCUCUCAGCCUGUCUCUGUAGGAGAGGUGCUGGUGGUGAGUGAGAGACAGUCCCCCCUGUGCUGGGCUUUGUUUCCCCUGUGUGUGCCAGGCUGAGAAAGUUGUUGUUGUGCUCCAGAGUGUCUGAGGUGUGCAGGCAGAGGUCGAUGAGUGCUUUCUGAGCAGGCUGAGAUCUUGUUCCCAGCUGAGAAGUCAAAUGCUGUGUUCAGUGCCUCUGCUGCAGUGGCUUUGUGCUGAGCUUUCCAGUGCUGCUUAGCUUUCUUCUGAGUCUUGCUGUGUGCAGCUGGGAGCUGAGGGCAGUUGAAUGGAGGCAGGAGGGAUGGUCCUGAGCACUGGGAGAAGAGGGAGUUGCUGAAAGCUGCUGAGGAGUGUGAGCUGGUCCCUUCAGCUGUGAUGGUAGCCACUGGUGUUGGAGAGAGCUUUGUUCUUGGAGUGUGCUCUGGUGGUGUGCAUGAGUGGUGGUCUGGGUCUGUGCAAAGGGAGCUGCCAGAUGCUUGUCCAUGUGAGGCCUGUUGUUGUGGGUGUUGUGUGUCCUGUGUUUGAUGCUGGAGUCAUGGAAUGGUUUGGCUUGGAGGGGACCUGAGGGAUCCUCUACUUGUGGGCAGGGCAACCUUGCACUGGAGCAGUCUGCUUGAGGCCUUAUGUGGCCUGGCCUUGGAGCCCUGCAGGGAGGGUGUCAGGCACAUGUGGAGUGAUUUGUGUCAGGAAGGUGUGAGUUGAGCUGGCAGCUGUGGGCAGGAGGAAGAUUGCCCUGUCUGCAGUAGGCUCUUUGUGCAUGUUAGGCUGAGCCCAGCUGGGGAUUUCCAGUGGUGUGUGUGGAGGCAUUUGUGUGUUUGGGUUUGAUGUGCUUCCAGCUGAGGGAGCCUGCAGAGUGUUUUCUGGUGCAGUUGCUGUAGAGCAGCAAGCAAGGCCCCAGGCAAAGCCCCAACAGGCUGUUAAAGCUGAGCCUGAGUGCAUUUCCCUGCUGCAGCAGGCAGGAGGCAGCCAUGUGCAGAGUGGGUGUCUGGGAGUUGUUGGGCUGCAUCUUCUUAGGCAGAAAGAUUUGCUGACAGCUUUCAGGCUGCUGUUCAGUUCCUCUCAAGGUUUCCUGCCCACAAAGAGAGUGAGGUCAGGUGGAGCCUUUGCUGUUUGCCUGCAGGCUGAUAGCUGUGCAGAGCUUUUGUCCCCUGUGCUGUCAGGAGCACUGUGCCCUGCUGCUGUUGGUGUGGAGAUGGAGAAAUGGUGUGUGGAAGAAGAGCAGGGAGCAUUGAGAGCAGGAUGAGAUGUCCAGAGUGUGCUUGUGGCUGAGGCCUUGUUUUUGAUUUGAGUGCAGUGUUUGAUUGGAGUGGGGUCAGGCUGUCCUGAGUGGUUUUGUUUGCAAGAAGUUGUGAGGUUUCCUUGGAGGAGCUUGAGAAGCAGAGCAAGAAAUUGCAGCUGUGCUCUUUGCUGCCUGCUGAGCUGUCAAAGGCAGGAAAUGAUUGGUGAAAGUGGCUGCAGCAAUUGCAGUGGUGUGCAAGGCUGAGCAGUGGUGUGGGCAGCAGGUCCAGGGCAGGAUUGUGCCCCUGUCCUGGGCCCUGAUGAGGCCGCAGGGUGAAUGCUGGGGUCAGUGUUGAGGCAGUGAGUGGAAGAAGGUUGUUGAGGGCCUGGAGCAGGUGCAGAGAAGGACAAGAAAGCUGUGGAAGGGUGUGGAGGGCAGGGCUGUGGAGGAGCAUCUGAGGGAGCUGAGGGUGUUGAGUGUGGAGAAGAGGAGGCUGAGGGGAGAGCUGAUUGCCCUGUCCCUGAGAGGAGGUUGCAGUGAGGUGAGGUUGGUCUGUUCUUGCCAGUGUCAGGUGAUGGAAGGGAGAGGAACUGGCCUGGAAGUGUGGCAGGGGAGGCUUAGGUUGGAGAUGAGGGAGAAUUUGUUUGCAGCAAGAGUGUUGAGCGACUGGAACAGGGUGCCCAGGGAGGUGGUGGAUUCCCCAGCGCUGGAGGUGUUGAGGGCCAGUUUGGAUGAGGCUUUGAGCAGCCUGGUCUGGUAGCAGGUGUCCCUGGCUAUGGCAGGGGUUUGGAGCUCUCUGAGCUUUGGGUUCCCUUGCAGCCCAAACAAUUCUGUGAAUGCUUGGAUCUGGACACUCAGCAGAAGUUCAGUGGAGUGAAACUGUAAAUAAGCAAUGUUGGAGAGCUGGGUGAGAGCUGUGUUAGGGCUGGGUUGGAGCUUGGCCCCUGCCUUGAAGGUAAAAUUGGAGCUUUUAUCAGAUUGGAAGUUGCAGGAGAGUUGUUUUGGCCUGCAGCUGUGCCUUAGAGUUUGUGAUGCUCAAGGGGCAGCUGUGAAGUA
Pogoniulus pusillus (Red-fronted tinkerbird) is the source of this 4040-nucleotide long non-coding RNA. RefSeq lists it as uncharacterized. Lineage: Eukaryota; Metazoa; Chordata; Aves; Piciformes; Lybiidae. The record is from RefSeq and is a predicted model, not a curated record. The transcript is spliced from 3 exons.